CUCACGUUCGACGCCUUCCCAUCGGGUCUACACUCGAGGCGCGGCAACCAAGCGGUUGCCGAUUGUCCAUACUUCGACCUGAGGAAAGUCCCCGGACCCACAAGCAGAAAGUGCAACCGGCCCAACGGCCGAUCGGCGCACUCUCGCCCUUCCGUGUCUUUCUACGGAGGUGACCAGGGGUCCCCCAACUCGGGCGUCUGUGAUCCGUCAGGACGGGCUUGUAGUGUUUGCCGACUGGUCCUAGAUAUAUAGUAUGUAAGGAAGGGUAGCCCGCGUCAAAACGGGAUAUCCCAACUUAAUGGGGCUUACGUUCGAACGUGA
Molecule: non-coding RNA, 321 nt
Organism: Cinara cedri
Lineage: Eukaryota; Metazoa; Arthropoda; Insecta; Hemiptera; Aphididae
Source: the annotation of a GenBank genome assembly